Molecule: ribosomal RNA, 292 nt
Filed under: uncultured Alphaproteobacteria bacterium
Lineage: Bacteria; Pseudomonadati; Pseudomonadota; Alphaproteobacteria
Description: partial 16S ribosomal RNA
Source: RNAcentral
GGACUACAAGGGUAUCUAAUCCUGUUUGCUACCCACGCUUUCGCGCCUCAGCGUCAAUGUCGGUCCAGUUGGCCGCCUUCGCCACGGGUAUUCUUCCCAAUCUCUACGAAUUUCACCUCUACACUGGGAAUUCUACCAACCUCUACCGAAUUCUAGUAAUGUAGUUUUGAAUGCAAUUCCCGGGUUGAGCCCAGGGCUUUCACAUCCAACUUACAAAACCGCCUACGCGCCCUUUACGCCCAGUAAAUCCGAACAACGCUAGCUCCCUUCGUAUUACCGCGGCUGCUGGCAC